AACCACUUUUUGAUACACAACAAACCAUAUAUAUGCCCACAAGGAAGACAGCAAAUUUGGUGGUCACCGUCAUUUGUCCAAGCUUCCAUGCAUAUAGAACAAAACAAUCCAUCAAUUUCACUUCGAUUCCACUCCUCUCCUACACCGCCUUCUUCCUUAUAAGCAUUUUGCGACGCCGUUUCCUCUCCUUUGCUCCUACUCGUAUCAUCUCCACUUUCCACAGCAGAAUUAUCCAAAUUAUCAACAUUAAUCACCCGCUCUGGAGAUGAAAUUCUCGCAGCACCACGAUCUCCAUACAA
This 299-nucleotide unclassified non-coding RNA is filed under the name Hevea brasiliensis (rubber tree). Lineage: Eukaryota; Viridiplantae; Streptophyta; Magnoliopsida; Malpighiales; Euphorbiaceae. The record is from RNAcentral.